RNAcentral lists this ribosomal RNA (239 nucleotides) under uncultured bacterium. RNAcentral describes it as "partial 16S ribosomal RNA". It matches the Rfam family "Bacterial small subunit ribosomal RNA", at positions 333 to 564 of the family's 1533-position model. The record is from RNAcentral.
GGGGCCCUACGGGGGGCAGCAGUAGGGAAUCUUCCACAAUGGGCGCAAGCCUGAUGGAGCAACACCGCGUGAGUGAAGAAAGGUUUCGGCUCGUAAAGCUCUGUUGUUGGAGAAGAACGUGCGUGAGAGCAACUGUUCACGCAGUGACGGUAUCCAACCAGAAAGUCACGGCUAACUACGUGCCAGCAGCCGCGGUAAUACGUAGGUGGCAAGCGUUAUCCGGAUUUAUUGGGCGUAAA